RNAcentral lists this long non-coding RNA (292 nucleotides) under Prunus persica (peach). RNAcentral's name for it is "long non-coding RNA (PPER_LNC000173)". The record is from RNAcentral. Lineage: Eukaryota; Viridiplantae; Streptophyta; Magnoliopsida; Rosales; Rosaceae.
AAAAUCAAACCUUAGACAAGGAUAAAUGGUCUUAAUUAGUUGAGAUACAAAUCCCUUUGCAAUUUCGAAUAAGCUUUAACUUAAAACAAAUACAUAUUAAUUGCAAUCAAAAAAGCAAAAUGAAAAUAUGUUCAACAACCGAAUUGAAAGUGUACAUAUUUUAAUGUGUAUUUUUAUUGUUGUCAUGCAACUAUAUUCAUAAAGAAUUGAUAUUUUUUAGACUUUAAUAGGUUAAUACAUACUGAACUAUAUUUUAAAGAAAACAAAUAUAUAGGUUUAAUAUUUUUUUAAC